Molecule: small nucleolar RNA, 128 nt
Organism: Amphilophus citrinellus (Midas cichlid)
Lineage: Eukaryota; Metazoa; Chordata; Actinopteri; Cichliformes; Cichlidae
Source: Ensembl
GCACCUCAGUACAACCCUGUCGAUUCUCCCUUAUUGAUACGGGUCAUGCUGGUGCUAUAGAAACUCAAAGUAAAUCCAGAUGGACCUCCUCUUUCUGUGGAGCCUGUCUCUACAACUUUGAUACACAA